This 29-nucleotide non-coding RNA is filed under the name Bombyx mori (domestic silkworm). Lineage: Eukaryota; Metazoa; Arthropoda; Insecta; Lepidoptera; Bombycidae. The record is from RNAcentral.
GCAAGUGUCACGCGCGCGGAUGAUGGUUU